Molecule: long non-coding RNA, 5324 nt
Filed under: Ananas comosus (pineapple)
Lineage: Eukaryota; Viridiplantae; Streptophyta; Magnoliopsida; Poales; Bromeliaceae
Description: long non-coding RNA (ACOM_LNC044079)
Source: RNAcentral
CUCGACCAAUUGCCUGAGCGGUUCGGAUUCUUCGAAGCAACGACAUAAAGGAAUUUGGUUAGAGUUUCUAUACUUCUCUAAUUUGGUCUUCUCGGUUUUACGAAAAGCUUUUUCUGGUAUUUUCUUGGAGUUUUCGUUGGAACAAGAAAGGUGGAAUUCACCAUAAGGUUCUUGGUUUUUUAUCCGGAGAAGACAUACGGUGUAAGCUUGUACUUUUAUUUCUUCAUAUAGUGGAAUACAUCUCUCUCGCUCUCCCCGUGGACGUAGGCAAUUGCCGAACCACGUAAAUCUUGGUUUCUUCUUUCUGCAUUUAUUUCUUUUACUGUUCGGUCGAUUUUCUCUAUUUUUCGUGCAUCUUUGUUGGUAGCACAUGACGGACGAUCCAUCCGGUUCCCAACAAGUGGUAUCAGAGCGUAAGGUUCGUGCUACAUCAGAGAUGUCGAAAGUCUCGUCUUCUAAGUUUGAGGUGGAGAAAUUUGACGGUAAAGGAAACUUCGGUCUCUGGCAGAGAAGAGUGAAAGCCCUUCUGGUUCAACAGGGCCUUCAUAAGGCGUUGCUCGGAAAAUCGAAAAAGCCGACAUCGAUGAGCGACGAAGAUUGGGAGGAUAUUGAUCUGCGAGCGGUGAAUACAAUUAUAUUGUGUCUAGCAGAUGAGGUGAUGUAUAACGUAAUGGAUGAAGAAACUACAGUCGGCAUGUGGAACAAGCUAGAGAAGCUGUACAUGACCAAAAGCCUCUCGAACGUGCUGUACCUAAAGCAAAAAUUAUAUGGGCUACGCAUGAAGGAAGGUACGGCAAUAACGGAACACUUGAACACCUUUAAUAAAAUUAUUGCGGAUUUGCUGAGCAUUAAUGUCAAGGUUGACGAGGACGAUAAGGCGUUGAUUUUUCUUACAUCACUUCCGUCGUCCUACAAUCACUUGGUGACCACCAUACUGUACGGAAAGCAAACUCUAAAGAUGGAAGAUGUUACAUCGACACUUUUAUCUGAAGAGAUCAGGUUGCAAGCGAGUACCGAAGAAAGCAGUGCAGGUUUGGUCGUAAAUGAUACAAGUGGAGGAAGGGGACGAUCAAGAGAACGUGAUGCAGGUAAAGGAAGAUCCCGUUCCAAGUCAAAAUCGAAAAAGGUGAAGUGUUACUUCUGUAAGAAAGAGGGCCACAUGAAAAAGAACUGCGAAAAGAGGAAGGCUUGGCUGCGAAAUCAGAAUUCCUCUGCAGAUACGGCGAGCGUAGCUAGUGAUUCCGGUCAGGACGUCUUGACGGUUACAACAGAUUCUGACUCUCACGGUGACUGGAUAUUAGAUUCUGGUUGUUCUUAUCACAUGUCUCCAAACAGGUCUUUAUUUGAUACUUAUAAGUCUUGUGAAGGCAGUAGUGUUAUGAUGGGUAAUCGCACUAGCUGCAAGAUGGUCGAUAUCGGAACAGUAAAAAUAAAGAUGUUUGAUGGUGUGGUGAGGACGUUAACGGAUGUGAGACACAUUCCGGAUCUCAGGUUAAAUCUUAUAUCACUUGGUACUCUUGACUUUACUGGCUGUUCUAUUAGUAUUUCAGGUGGAGUCGUCAAGGUUAAAAAGGGUGCCAUGGUCGUCAUGAAGGGAGAGAAGAAAGGGAAUCUGUACAGGCUGAUCGGCGAGUCGGUGAUUGGAGGCGUUGCGGUAACAUCCUCAGAAGAUCAUGAUGCUGAUGAUACGGAGCUCUGGCACAUGAGACUAGCCCACAUGAGUGAAAGAGGGAUGUUGGAACUGCAUAAAAGGGGAGUACUCAAAGGUAUUAAAUCCUGUAAACUUAAUUUCUUGCAAAUUUUGUUUAUUUGGAAAACAGAAAAGGUUGAGUUUCAGGACCUCCAGUCAUAAAAGUAAAAGUAUACUUGAGUAUAUCCAUGCGGACGUGUGGGGACCGGCUCCGGUGACUUCGAAAGGUGGUGCGCGAUAUUUUAUUACAUUUAUCGAUGAUUUCUCCCGUAAGGUUUGGGUAUUCUUCAUGAAGGAAAAGUCUGAGGCAUUUAUAAAGUUCAGACAUUGGAAGAAUGAGGUGGAGAAACAAACUGGGAAGCAGGUCAAGGUUCUUCGAACGGACAAUGGUGGAGAGUUCACUUCUCGGGAGUUUAAGAAAUUCUGCAAGGAUGAAGGUAUUGUACGUCAUUACACGGUUCCAGGUACUGCACAGCAGAAAGCAGAAAGGAUGAACCGGACAUUGGCUAGAACGUGCCAGAUCCAUGAGGUUAUGUGCAGAUUUGCCAAAGGAGUUCUGGGCUGAAGCAGUAGAUAUGGCGUGCUAUAUUAUUAAUCGAUCUCCCGCCACAGCAAUCGAACUCAAAACACCGGAGGAAGUAUGGACAGGUAAACUUGCAGAUUAUUCCUCCUUACGGGUCUUUGGUUGUCCUGCUUAUGUCCAUAUCCAGGAAAAUCAGCGCACAAAAUUAGAUUCGAAGUCAAAGCCCUGCAUAUUUCUUGGGUACGAUAUGGGUGUUAAAGGAUACAAGCUGUGGGACCCUAUCGCCAAGAAGAAGGUGAUUAGCAGGGACGUAGUUUUUGACGAAAAAGCUAUGCCGCGUAAGGAUCAUCAGGAGGCUCAACGUGAAGAACAGUCAAAAACUACGCAGAUCCAGGUGGAGCGGCAAGAGGGUGUAGAUGAUCAGGUGGAGCAGCCCCACUAUCAGGAUGAUCAUGGUACACAAAGCGAUCCGAUUGAAAGCACUUCGGAGGAGCCCUACUCUAUCGCUAAAGGAAGGGAAAGGAGACAGAUUCGUCCACCUUUACGGUACAGGUUGGAGGAUAUAGUAUCUUAUGCCUUAUUAAUUACAUCAGAUGAUCCCACUUCCUAUCAGGAGGCGAUGCAGGACAGAGAUAGUGGCAGAUGGAUGGCGGCUAUGACGGAAGAGAUGGAGUCUCUACAGAAGAAUCAGACAUGGGAUCUGAUUCCAUUACCGGAAGGGAAGAGAUCUAUCGGUUGCAAGUGGAUCUACAAAAAGAAGCAGGGUGCAGAUGGAGAACCAGAAAAAUUCAAGGCGCGGUUAGUAGCCAAGGGCUAUGCGCAAGUAAAGGGAGUUGAUUUCAAUGAGAUUUUCUCACCGGUGGUGAAACACGCGUCAAUUAGGAUGCUUCUAGCUAUGGUGGCUAUGUUUGAUUUAGAGCUUCAGCAGCUUGACGUUCGAACCGCAUUUCUUCAUGGGGAUCUAGUAGAAGAAAUUUAUAUGGAACAACCUCAAGGUUUUGUUCAGCCGGGGAAGGAGAAUCUGGUGUGCAAACUGAAAAGAUCUCUCUACGGGUUGAAGCAGGCACCGAGGCAGUGGUAUAAGCGGUUUGACGGGUUUAUGAUCGAGCAUGAUUAUAGCAGAAGUUUAUAUGACAGUUGUGUCUACUAUCGGAGGCUUGAAGAUGGUUCGUUUAUUCUGCUUAUGCUAUAUGUAGACGAUAUGCUUAUAGCAGCUAAGAAUCCGAAUGAAGUGCAACAAUUAAAGGAUCAGUUGAGCCGAGAAUUUGACAUGAAGGACCUAGGAGGUGCUAGAAAAAUCCUAGGUAUGGAGAUCAGACGCGACCGCAUACAGGGUAAGUUAUGGUUAUCGCAGAAGACAUAUAUACGAGCUAUUAUAAAGCAAUUUAAUAUGUCAGAGGCGAAGGCGGUCAAGACUCCAUUAGCCCAACACUUCAAACUUUCUGAGGAGAUGUGUCCCAAGACGGAUGAGGAGGUUACUUCUAUGUCAAAGAUACCAUAUGCUAGUGCAGUCGGUUGCCUGAUGUAUGCUAUGAUUUGCACUAGGCCUGAUCUUUCACAUGCAGUUAGUGUUGUCAGUCGGUAUAUGUCGAAUCCAGGAAAACAACACUGGGAGGCCGUGAAGUGGAUUUUGCGGUAUCUGAAGGGCACAUCAGAUAAAGGUAUUCUCUACUCGAAAGAUUCUGGUAAUGAUGAAGUGAAGGGGUUUGUAGAUUCCGACUAUGCGGGUGAUUUGGACAAGCGUAGGUCUAUUACAGGUUACGUCUUUCUGCUGGGCGGCGGACCUAUCAGUUGGAAAUCUACGUUGCAGCGCACUGUAGCCUUGUCAACUACAGAAGCGGAGUAUAUGGCGGCAAUUGAAGCAGCUAAGGAAGCAGUCUGGCUUAGAGGCUUGGUUUGUGAACUCGGAAUCAUGCAGGAAAAAAUGAUUAUCGGUUGUGAUAGUCAGAGUGCUAUAUGUCUCGCCAGGAAUCCAGUGUACCAUGGGAGGACAAAGCACAUAGAAAUCAAGUAUCACAAAUUACGGGAGCUCACUAAUGAGGAUGAUAGAGAAAUUCAGCUUAUAAAGGUUUCCACAAAGGAUAAUGUAGCUGACAUCAUGACAAAGCCGGUAACAGCGGAUAAGUUUAGACACUGUCUAAACUUGGCUAAUUUGCAUGACUGCUAAUGACUGGAUGCCUCAGGGAGAGGGGGCGAUAAGAUGAGAGAGAGUAAUGAAAUACAAAAGAAGUCAAGGUGGAGAAUGUUAAGAAUAUGCCUUCUUUUAUUGGUUUGGUCCAUGCAUCGGGUCUACGGAAUAUAUUAAUUUAAAAUUGAAUUAGACUUUGAUUUGGCUCUGUAGUAAUUUGGAUGGACUAGGAAUUGAAUUAGGAUUUUCAAUUCCUAAUUUGACUUGUUGACCGGCCAAUCCACGCAUAUAUAUAUAUAUAUAUGCGUGCCCUCUUCAAACUGUACGGUAAGUCAUGGGAAAAAUUAAUUAGCUUUGUUGGCUAAUUAAUUCAUGGUUCCGGGAGCCGUACGACGGUAGCAAGAGAAGGAGAUGCGCGGUAGCACGCAUGCGACGGAUUGACGUUGGCGGCGGAGCGGUGGUUCUCGACCAAUUGUCUGAGCGGUUCGGAUUCUUCGAAGCAACGACAUAAAGGAAUUUGGUUAGAGUUUCUAUACUUCUCAAAUUUGGUCUUCUCGGUUUUACGAAAAGCUUUUUCGGUAUUUUCUUGGAGUUUUCGUUGGAACAAGAAAGGUGGGAUUCACCAUAAGGUUCUUGGUUUUUUAUCCGGAGAAGACAUAAGGUGUAAGCUUGUACUUUUAUUUCUUCAUAUAGUGGAAUACAUCUCUCUCGCUCUCCCCGUGGACGUAGGCAAUUGCCGAACCACGUAAAUCUUGGUUUCUUCUUUCUGUAUUUAUUUCUUUUGCCGUUCGGUCGAUUUUCUCUAUUGGUUCGUGCAUCUUUGUUGGUAGCACAUGACGGACGAUCCAUCCGGUUCCCAACAGUCUCGAUAAGGGGAUAUCAUUGAGAAAUAAAUCCAGCUCAGCUCAAUAAAAAUUCACAGCCCCAUGAAUAUGACAGAACUAAUUGAGAAAUAAAUCUAGCUCGGCCCAACAAAAAUUCAC